AGGGAAGCUAUGUCUGUGCCCUGACAUUGCCACUCCCUGGCUGCAGUUCAGCCGGUGACAGUCCUGCCCUGGAAUUCUUGACAUACCUCUGGGGUCUUUCCAAUAGACUUCCUGUUUUGCUGAGCCUGGCCGGAGUGGCUUUCUAGCACUCACAACCAAAGGAGUCCUAAAAACUUUGGAACAGGCCAGCUGGAGCCAAGAACAGGGGGCAGGCCAUCAUUGAACAGAGGACGGUACAUUCCCAAGCCAAAUAUGGUAAGCCUGGCUUGGCCAGAGGGCCCCGCUGGACCUCCUGUCCAUGCAGAACUCGGCAGAGAGGCCAGAAGGAGGAAAGAAGCCCAUUGUUCUGAGUGCCUGGCUGCAGGGUGGGAGCCAAGAGGCCCAGGGGGACAAAGUCAAAAUCCAAGGCAAGUCCCAGGCUGGAGUGGCGUGGGGGGCAUGGCUGGGAACGGGAACCCAGGGGAGCGGAAGCCAAAGAUGCCUGGAUUUCAUGGCCAAAUAGAAGGGGCAGAAAGCCCAGGAGUGGCCCAGGGUCCAGCCAGCAGGGAAGAAGACAGCCUUGGGACACCAGAGAGCCCUGAUGACUGUCCCAGGGAAGGCUCUGUUCUGUGCGUGUGAAUACACCUCUUAAAGGCCCAGCACCCCUGUCACCGGCAUCUCCCUGCCAGGUAGGGCCAUUGAGAUGGAAAUCCAGUGCCUGAGCCCAAAUCAAACCUAAGUCAGAGCCAGGCCUGAUGGCACCUGUCAUCCCAGCUACUCAGGGGGCUAAGGCAGGAGGAUCACAAGUUCAAGGCCAGCCUGGAGGACUUAGUGAGAACUUGUCUCAAAAUUUAAAAAUGAAAAGGGCUAGAGGUGUAGCUCCAUGGUAAAGCGCCCCCUGGGUUCAACCCCCAGUACCCCCACCACCACCAAAAAAAAAAAAAAUCAGGAUCACAAAGCUCAUCUUAAGAGCGGUCCCUGAGGCUGAAUUCUACACCUCUUUACUUCUGUUUUCAGACCGGUCAUAGGGUCAUAGCAAGCUUGCUUAUCUACAGCUGGGCUCCUCAGCCUGGCUAUGACACUCAGGGCAGGUUGUUCUCUGCCAGAGGAGGUGCCUCCUAUACUGCAGGAUGCUUAGCAGCCUCCCUGGCCUCUACCCACUGGGUGCCAGCGGCACCCACCCUCCCAUGUGUCAACCAAAAUGUCUCCAGACAUUGCCUUAUGAUACAGAUCAUCUCAGGUGAGAUCCACUAUGCUGCAGCGACAGAUUGAGAACCAGCCAAAAAAUCAGAAAAGGCCACAGCCCAGGCCAGCCAGCUGAGCAGCAGAGCGAGGAGCAGGACAAUAGCCCUUAAGGACAGGUGGCCUAUGGCGGAGCAAGCAAUCCCACUUUGUGCUCAUCAGAGAACUAGGGCUUCCCUGCCCAGAAUGCCAUCUGUGGCUGCCUGCCUUUUGGUGAGGAGGCAGGACAAAGUCUGUUAUCCUCAUCUUCUUCUUUCACUUAAAUUAACAAAUCAAGGAGUGAAGAGGUUCAUUGAAUUAGUCUUGGGACCAAGGUCCUCCAUCCCAGCUCAGCUCUCUGGCCCCUCGACCUCCCUGAUGGACGUUCCCAGGGAGCCGCAGCAAGGUGUGACCAGGCCUGUGUGAGAAAGCGGGUGGAGGAAAUGUGUACCCACAGAGUGACAGCGCUUCCCUGGGGAAAACAGGAUUACAGGGGUCUUUGAUCCUUCUCUUAAGCAGUGCUAGACAGAGUCCGGCACCUAGUAGGCUCCCACUCAGUAUUUGUUGACUUAAAUGAGAUUUAGGUUUUAAUCUAAACCCAAUUAAAAUAUAAAUGAUCUAAACAAAAUUAUGGUUUACAGAUUUCUACAUUAAUUCUGUACUGCUUUGGGACCUGGAGAGUGACUUAGUCUGUUGUGGGCUGCUAUAACAGAAUACCUGAGACGGGAGAGUUUAUAAAGAAUAGAGAGCGGGGCACAGUGGUGCAUGUCUGUAAUCCCAACAGCUCAGGAGGCUGAGGCAGGAGGAUUGUGAGCUGAAAGCCGGCCUCAGCAAUUUAGCAAGGCCCUAAGCAAUUCAGUAAGAUCCUGUCUCUAAAUAAAAUACAAAAUAGGGGAUGUGGUUCAGUGGUUAAGCACCCUUGGGUUCAAUCCCUGGUACCAAAAAAACAAGAGAGAUCUAUUUCCUAUAGUUCUAGAGGCUGAGAAGUGAGACUCUGGGCUGACUCUGGUGAGGGCUUCUUUGCUGUGUUCUAGGAUGACAGUCGGCAUCACCUGGCCAGAGAGCAAGAGGGGGUCCAUCUCGAGAUAACUGACCCGCUGCAGCCGUGUGGACAUUAAUCCACUCCCUCGAGCCAAGCCCUCUUCAUAGGCUCCAUUUCUCAACACCGUGGUGUUGCCGGUUAAGUUACCAACACAUGAAAUCAGGGAGACGUAUUCAAGCCACAGCGGAGGGUGAUGGGUGUUCACGCCUUUCUUUCUUUUUUUUGCUUUUUGAUUUGUUGUGGUUUUCGCAGGGCUGGGGAUGGAACCUAGGGCCUUGUGCAUGCCAGGCCAGUGCUCUACCACUGAUAUGCACCCCCAAUUCUAUUUUAGCUUUUUUUUUUUUUGGUGGGGAGGUACCAAGGAUUGAACUCAGGGGCGUUCAACCACUAACCCACAUCCCCAGCCCUAUUCUGUAUUUUAUUUAGAGACGGGGUCUUGCUGAGUUGCUUAGCACUUCAGUUUUGCUGAGGCUGGCUUUGAACUCCCGGUCCUCUUGCCUCAGCCUCCUGAGCCCGUGGAAUCACAGGCGUGAGCCACUGCACCCAACAAGGCUUUUUUGAUGAGAUCUUCUCAGCACUUCAGGGCCCAUCUCCAAACCUGCUUCUGUCCCAUGACCUGUCCCCUCGUCUUGCCAGUACUUUGACAUGCUACAGUUAUCAUGUAGGUCAGAGGAGUUAAGACUCUCUGUACCCACUUGGAGCCAGGUGCAUGGGGCAGACAAGCAAUGCCUGCAGGCUGGAGGUGUCUCUCUCAUUUCUUGUUUGCAGCAGGCACUGUCCUCACUCCUCAAGGGGAAGAGAAGAUGGAGAGCUUCCCUAUGGGGUCACCAUUGCAAAAGAAGUACUGUAGCUGGGCACCUGAAAUCUCUUAAACCAUAUUCUCCUCUUUUUUCUCAGAACAUCAUGACCAAAACAUGAGCUGAGUUAGACGGAUGGCUGUCUGGCACAUGCACAGGAAGCUUGCGUGCACGCACACAAGUGCGUGUGGAUGUGUGUGGGGCUGUGAGCGUGCUUGAGUGCGUAAGUGUGCGUGGGAGGGUAUGGUGUGCUGUGUGCACAUGCGCUCUCAGGUCCUCCACAUGCAUGUUCUACUUGGGGUCAUUUGGGGUCUGCAUUCCAGUUGUUGGAAACAGAAACUGAGCCAAGAGGCCUCUUUGGAGAUCAGGGAUCUGAGUCUCGGUCCUUCCUCCUGCAGCAGAAAUGGACGCUGAGGUGGGCUCGGUGGCUCACACCUAUAAUCCCAGCAGCUUGGGAGGCUGAAGCAGGAGGAUCACAAGUUCAAAGCCACUCAGCAACUCAGCGAGGCCCUCAGCAACUCAGUGAGACCCUGUCUCUAAAUAAAAUACAAAAAAGGGCUGGGGAUGUGGCUCAGUGGUUAAGUGUCCCUGAGUUCAAUCCCAGGUACCAAAAAAAAAAAAAAAUGGAUGCUGUGGUGAAUCACACUGUUGGCUGGACAGCGGGGACUCCUGGCUGGGAUACAUGGCUCCCAAGCUGCCUAAGUGAUGUCACCAUCAGACCUUCCUAUAGGGAAAGCUCCAGCAAGACGGCCCCUAGCACAGUGUGAGGCUCUGGACCGUGGCCACUGACCUGAAGGAUUACAUCUCAGGAUGUCAAGGUCGGGGCACACAGUUUGGCCUGUGUUCAGAGACUUGACGGAUCCUUCACCUUCUCUUUGGUUUUUGGGGUUUUGUUUGUUUGUUUGUUUUUGUACCAGGAAUUGAACCCAGGGUGCUUAACCACUGAGCCACAUCCCCAGCCCUUUUUGUAUUUUAUUUAGAGACAGGGUCUCACUGAGUUGCUUAGGGCCUUGCUAAGUUACCGAGGCUGGCUUUGAACCUGCAAACCUCCUGCCUCAGCCUCCCGCAUGUUGCUAGAAUUGCAAGUGCACACCACCGUGCCCAGCCCUUCACCCCCUCUUUGAAGAGGUGAGCAGGGAGCCAUGCCAUUCCUCCUGGUCCAGGAGAUUCACAUCCUGGGAAUUCCCAAGGCUCUGCCCUUAAAGAUCUAAUUUGAAAUCCAAAUUCAGCCGUGGGAGAAGCCGACCUCCUCAUCCGAUUCUGGUUCUUAGUCCAGGGUACAAGACGAGAUCUCACGCCUGCUCUGCUGGUGGGAAUUUGGCAUGAGACUUGUGCCCUGAGAACAGCAGUCAUGGAAAGACCCUGGGGCUCCCUCUCAGGGAGGCCAAGAUGAACCAGGAACUGCUGGGCCAGCGGGAGAGGCACAGCAGAGAAGCCGCUCAAGGUCACCUUAAGAAGACACUUUGGGGGACAUGGCCCAGGCGCCCUGCCAAGUGCUGCAUCAAACGCCGGCUCAGGGAUCUUCAAAGCAAUGCCCAAGGGCACUGGGGCCUGAAGCUGCUCAGCAGACAGAGCAGCAAACCCAGGCUCAGAAAUCGGAAGUGACUUUCUUGUUAUCACACAGCUAUCGAGUGGCAGAGCCAGGAUUCAAACAAGGUCAGGAAUGAAGUACAAAAUGUCCAGCAAUCAAUAGAGCGGCUGGAUAAACAAUGGUUUAUUUAUGGAAUACUGGGCAGCCGCUGACAUUUCUUGGUAGAAAAAUAUUGAAUGGCCUGGAAAGAUGUGCAAGAUAUGUAGCGAAGUAGAGGAAAAGAGAGGCCACCAAGCAGUGUGGGCUGCAGAUGGGUUGUUAAAAAGUAAAAUAAACAUGGCGAGACCCUGACUCAAAAGAAAAAUAAAAAGGAUGUAGCUCAGUGGUAGAACAUCCUUGAGGUCAAUCCCUAAUGCUGAUAGACAGAUAAUAAGCUAAGCUCAGUGGCUCACGCCUGUAAUCCCAGUGGCUCAGGAGGCAGAGGCAGGAGGAUUGCAAGUUCAAAGCCAGCCUCAGCAAUGUAGUGAGGCCCUAAGCAAUUCAGUGAGACCCUAUCUCAACAAAAAAUAUAAAAAGGGGCUAAGGAUGUGGCUCAGUGGUUGAGUGCCCCUGGGUUCAAUUCCCAGUGCCAAAUAAUAAUAAUAAUAAUAAUAUAAAAACCAGAAAAGUAAAUACAGAGGUAUUAUUUCCCAAAAGAAAAUCAAAACAUGAGCUGUGGCAUUCUCUGGAUAACAGGAGUGGGUAAGAUUUUUACCCUUGCUUUGUCCUGUUUUCUUACGACAUUCAUUUUGUAACAAGAACAAAUCUGAUAUGGAAGUGCCCCAGCUGUGUUCCUGCAGGGACGGCAGAGGGCAGGGGGCAUGGGUGGCACUUGUUGGUGAGGGUUGAGCAAAAGCAGGAGGGUGUGGCGGGAAGCGAUGCCUUCCUAGGAAGGCAACCUGGCUCAGGCUGAGGAUCCUGUGUUGAUCAGAAUUCACUGGACUUUUCAAAGUCCAUUUCCUGCCCCGAGGUUAGCCUGCCUUUCAGCCCCUCUGAUGAAUCACACGGACCACACGUGGAGACCCGCCUCCUGUUUUGUAAUCCUCCCUGCAUUCUUAGCCAAUCUGCCAGCCAGAGCCAACCUCAGGUCCUGACAGUCAUCGCAGUGUCCUUGGUCUCAGCAGACCGUGGAGGGGUGAGCAGACUCCUGGCUCAGACCCUGAGGGGGCAAGAAGUGGCUGGGUCAAAUGCCUUGUGCCAUCAGUAAGAAGCAUUCUGCCAUCCCCCCAACCCUCCCCUGCUCUCUGCUGAGACUCUCCGGGGAAGAGGGGAUUCUCAGACAACCCUUUGGCCACUGCACUUGGCUCUUGCCUGGAAUAAUUAGAGACAGAGCCAGGAAUGAUGUCAUGCCUCUGCAGGAGAUGGAGGAUGACUUUGAGCAAGGCCUUGGCCUUGGCCCUCUCGUUUGUCAAGCAAGUUGGGGUGGACUUGACAAGUUCUAGCAUUCCAGCUCCAGCAUCCUGAUGUGAAGACAGUCAUCCCCCUGGCAAAUCACACUCGAAGAGAGUGGAGGCCCAGCUUUGCACACUCAAGUCCCUUCUCACCCUCUUCCUCCAAAUUCCCCAGGGAACCCUGCUUCCUCUCCUGGUUCUACCCACAUGGCUGUCAAUCAAGGUGCCCCACCUCCUUCCAGGGCGUGGUGCCUACUCCAGAGGCUGAGGCAGGAGGAUCACAAAUUCAAGGCCAGCCUCAACAAUGUAGGUGGGUCCUAAGCAACUUCAGGGAGACCCUGUCUCCAAAUUUAAAAAUAAAAAGCUCUGGGAUGUGGCUUGGUGGUUAAGUGCCCCUGGGUUCAAUCCCUGAUGCCCAGAACAAAAAGGAAUGGAGGGUGGUAAGCACAAGGCUUGGGCUCCAUCCCCAGAACCAAAAAGAAAGAACAAGGUUUAUUUGACUCACAGUUUUGAAGGCUUCAGCCUUAGACAAUUGGCCCCCUUGUUUUGUUGUUUUGUUUUGUUUUGGGUACCAGGGAUUGAACCCAGGGGCACUCAACCACUAAACCACAUCCCCAGCCCUGUUUUGCAUUUUAUUUAGAGAUAGUUUCUCACUGAGUUGCUUAGCGCCUCACUUUUUCCUGAGGCUGGCUUUGAACUCAUGAUCCUCCUGCCUCAGCCUCCCCCCGUGCUGCCAGGAUUACAGGUGUGCACCACUGUGCCAGGCAGUCCCCCUUGUUUUUGGACCUCUGGAGAGACAGCACAUUAUGGGGGCAGGAAAUGGCAAAAUUCUCACCUCAAAACAGAGAGGAAGAGGAAGAAACUGAGGUCUCCCAACAUCCCUUUCAAGAUCACUCCCCAGUGACUGGAAGGACCAAGCCUUUAACACCAGGUCUAUGGGGGACAAUUAUCCAAACCCCGAUAGGAAACACAGAAGCUACGUUUGGGCUGGACACGGGAACUGUGAUGCCCAUCUUGCAGCAAGCUGUCCCCAGGAGCUGGGAGUGGACGGGGCCUCUGGAUGCAGGGCACACCAGUGUGUGCUCCACAAUCAAUGCUCACCCUGUCAUGGGAGGCUGGCACCCUCUAGCACUGGGAAUGCCGGGACCUGGAGUAGAAUUAGCCCGUCAGGCCCUGCUGAUACGUGGCAUUUGGAAUCAUCCCCUCACUGCCUCAAGCUGACAGAGGACGCUGGCCCCAGCCACAAGGCCAAGGAAGAUCUGGGUCUUCAUGUCAUGGGUGGUAUGUCGGCGGCACCUGGAUGCCGAUCAGUGUUCCUGAAUGGUGUCGUCCAGGAUUCCAGUGCUGAAUCCUAUCCCACUGUGACUGUGGUGGAGAUGGGGCCUCUGGGAGGUGAUUAAGGUUGAACAAGGUCCCCCCCCGGGGGGGGGGUCUUAUCCCAAAGAAUUGUUGGCCUUCCAAGAAGAGGAAGAGACUGCUGGCUCUCCCUGAUGCCACACAUCUGCGUGCUCUUUCCCUCCCACCUCCCAGGGACAUGCCACGUGGGCACAGUGGAAGGCCGCCAUCUAUAAGCCAUGAAGAGGACCCUCACCUGAACCUUGCUGUGUUGGCUCCUAGUCUUGAACUUCCAGCUCCCAGAACCGAGAAAAUAAAGACCUGUUACGUAAACUACCCAGUCUGUGG
This 7683-nucleotide long non-coding RNA is filed under the name Marmota monax (woodchuck). Lineage: Eukaryota; Metazoa; Chordata; Mammalia; Rodentia; Sciuridae. The record is from RNAcentral.